Molecule: non-coding RNA, 27 nt
Filed under: Bombyx mori (domestic silkworm)
Lineage: Eukaryota; Metazoa; Arthropoda; Insecta; Lepidoptera; Bombycidae
Source: RNAcentral
UAUUUCUGAAUACUGAAGAGCAGCUGC